This is a long non-coding RNA of Salvelinus namaycush (lake trout), 1273 nucleotides long. RefSeq lists it as uncharacterized. The transcript is spliced from 3 exons. The record is from RefSeq and is a predicted model, not a curated record. NCBI's taxonomy places the organism in Eukaryota, Metazoa, Chordata, Actinopteri, Salmoniformes, Salmonidae.
CUGACCUCCAGGACACCUACACCACCAGGUGUCGCAGGAAGGCAAAUAGGAUGAUCAGGGACCUCAGCCACCUGAGCCAUGCCCUGUUCUCCCCUCUUCCUUCACUCAGACGCAGGCAGUACAGCAGCAUCAUGGCAACAACUGGAAGACUGGCCAAGAGCUUCUACUCCCCAGACCAUCAGGCUGCUCAAUAGGAGCCACUCUAUUCUUCAUCCCUCUGUUCCAUGCCUCUGCCAGCAACGUAGAAAAAGGUUGAUAUUAGGUUGACUCCAACAUAAUUUCUGAUGUUCGCCGAUAGCCUGAUGCUCUAAAGCAGAGUGGCUGAUAUUCCAAACCUGGAGAGAUACUUGGAAUAUUUCGUGGCAGUGAACACCGCAAUACGGGUUCCAGACCAAUGCCUGUCCGACUACGAGGAGGUCCUGUUGAUCCAGCGAGGGAUGGGGAAAAUUUUAGAAUCAUCAAUCACCAUCCUCAUUGAGGUCCAGACCUCAGACCCAGGUACCAACAUGGAGGAACUUGUGGAGGUUGAGGAGCAUCAGCCCUCGAAGAUGGAGGAGCAGCCCUUGGAGUUUAUGGGUGUUGGAAAGCCAGAGGUAGAUUUCCUCAGCCUUCACAAGCAUCUUCUGGUGAUACCAUAGGUUGCCAACGAGGAGGUGAACACUGAGGUAAGAAAUAAGAGCCAUCUGAAAAGGCCUAUUAUUAUGAUAGUCUUUGAAUGAAAUAGGUUAUGUGUAUCAUUUUGGACAUUGUCAAGUUGUCUAUGUAUAAAUGACUUCGAUAUGUUUUGUAAAAUUGCUACUAGGUUCCAAUAGUUAUAUGCGGUAUGUCUGUCUGUUUGCAGAAGGAUUCCACAGAGAAUGCAGACCUCAACCAGCUAGGCACCAUUCACCAAGGAGUAAUGUGCCUGGAGAUUAAAUCUGAGCAACUCGCUCUGAGCAACACCAACAGCGAAGACAACUGUAACAAAGAUGUCCUCCUCCUGCAAGAGAACACUGAGUGCCUGCUGAAGGCCGUAACUCAGGAAUGUAUGUUAGCGGUGGUCUCAGAGGACGGAGCUGGAGGCAAAUAGCCGAAGAAGAAAAAGAACGUCAUUAGGAAGAUCUUCAGCCGCAUCUGGAGGAGCAUAACGUGUUCCUCUGUGAUCUCCAGAGAGGACGACAACAGAGCUGCCUCUAUUGAAAAUAACUGUUUUACCAGUUGCUACCACCAACUGUAACAUCACCAUGGCCAAUUAUAGCAUUUUAUUUAAAUAACCCAAAAAUAAAAACUCAAU